Molecule: non-coding RNA, 1172 nt
Organism: Salvia hispanica
Lineage: Eukaryota; Viridiplantae; Streptophyta; Magnoliopsida; Lamiales; Lamiaceae
Source: RefSeq, a predicted model, not a curated record
UACAGCCACAAACAAGUUCAUAUUUUCAGCAACUCGCCAUACAAAUCAACAUCCCAUGUGACUCCAAAAUCAAGCAAUUCAAGAAUCUCUCAAUCCCACACACUAAUUUUAAAUCUAAAUCCAUUAACAAUGCAUAAUGAUGUAUCAAGAAUGCAUCUUCCCGCAACAUCAAAGUAGGCCUUCGGAAAUGACAGCCACACCCUUAUGCCUACCCUUGCAACCUUCCAUAAACCAUUUCUUUCAAUUUCAUCGUCCCACUUUCCCACCUCCCAUUUAUAGGAGCCCUCUCUCUCUCUCUCCCUCUCUCUCAAUGGUAAGGUACGCGUGUGAGCACUCGAGCAGGAAGCUUUGGGCAAGCACGUAGCAAGGCAGGCAACACGAGAGCUGGUCCCCGGCCAUGGCCUCGAGUUCACAAACCUAUCAUACAGUGUGUUCAAGAAAAUUAAAAAAAAAAAAAAAAUAUGGGGUGUGGAUCACCAAGGAGACCUAUCUGCUCAACGACAUCUCUGGGCAGGCGAUGAAGGGCGAGAUCAUGGGGCCCAGCAGGGUGGGGGAGUCGAUGUUUCUUGACGCCUCAAAGGCCAUGUCAAGAUAGAUGGGAAAGCAGUAAGCCUCUCAAGAUACUUACAUACCUUCACACCAAACACACUGUAUACAAUGUUAAUUGUGUUUUCUUUUUGCAGGUGACAGCAAGCUAUAUGAAGAUGAUCUCAUCCUAUGUGAUGCAAUAUGAUCAGCCCUUUCCUGUGCUCACUGUUUUUGAGACAUUCAUGUUUGCUGUAGAACUGAGGCUUCCACCAUCCAUCUCCACAGCUGAGAAGAAGAAGAGAGUUGUUGAGCUUGUCAAUCAGCUUGGUUUAACAAGUGCAAUGCAUUAUGCAGACAUACAUAGGGAAUGAAGGGACAAGAGAAGGGUGUCUACUGGUGUUGACAUAAUCCACAAGCCAUCGUCGUGGAGAAUCCACAAGCCAGAGGAGGCAGCACAGUGCUCAUGACAAUCCAUCAGCAUACUGCUCGCCUGGGGCGUGCUAGCUGUAUCGCCUUUUCUUCUACGUCCUGCUCAGGUUCUAUUCCAAGAAUGAGAGGAAAUGAAUGAACUUCAGUUCAAACUUGAAGAUCUCCUCAUUUGUUUUGCUGUAAACGUUCUAUAUAAAGCUAAUUUUACUUCCUAA